AAGGGAGUGGCAGAUUGGCUAUGUGGUUAACUUGAAAUUAAAGUAAGGGGGUUCAAUUC
RNAcentral lists this transfer RNA (59 nucleotides) under Bolitoglossa alberchi. RNAcentral's name for it is "tRNA-Ser". Lineage: Eukaryota; Metazoa; Chordata; Amphibia; Caudata; Plethodontidae. The record is from RNAcentral.